RNAcentral lists this ribosomal RNA (460 nucleotides) under uncultured bacterium. Its description in RNAcentral is "bacterial SSU rRNA". It matches the Rfam family "Bacterial small subunit ribosomal RNA", at positions 30 to 487 of the family's 1533-position model. The record is from RNAcentral.
AUUGAACGCUGGCGGCAUGCCUUACACAUGCAAGUCGAACGGCAGCACGGGAGCAAUCCUGGUGGCGAGUGGCGAACGGGUGAGUAAUAUAUCGGAACGUGCCCAGUCGUGGGGAUAACGUAGCGAAAGCUACGCUAAUACCGCAUACGAUCUAUGGAUGAAAGCGGGGGAUCGCAAGACCUCGCGCGAUUGGAGCGGCCGAUAUCAGAUUAGGUAGUUGGUGAGGUAAAGGCUCACCAAGCCGACGAUCUGUAGCUGGUCUGAGAGGACGACCAGCCACACUGGGACUGAGACACGGCCCAGACUCCUACGGGAGGCAGCAGUGGGGAAUUUUGGACAAUGGACGCAAGUCUGAUCCAGCCAUUCCGCGUGCAGGAUGAAGGCCCUCGGGUGUAAACUGCUUUGUACGGAACGAAAGGUUUCUAUUAAUACUAGGAGCUCAUGACGGUACCGUAAGAAU